CCCAGAGCUUGCACAAGCUGCACAGUUGGUUUGUGCGUGUUUAUUAGGUAUUUGGCAGAUUUCGACCUGAAGCUACAGCAGACCCUACAGGGUACAACAGGAAGAAGGAAGAGGAACACUCGGCAUCGUUUCUGGAGCAUUUUCAGGGGUGGCUGCUAAUGAAAACAGUGAGAUCUCUGCUCUUAAGGUUGUCUUCAUGAAAAUGUCCACUGGAUGACUACGAUAAAGAAAUGAAGAAUGAACAGACAGAAAAGGUAAUAAUAAGAAAAAGUGAAUUUCUAACUAUAUGCAGAACUACAU
This 300-nucleotide long non-coding RNA is filed under the name Junco hyemalis (dark-eyed junco). RNAcentral's name for it is "lncRNA (ENSJHYG00000007199.1)". Lineage: Eukaryota; Metazoa; Chordata; Aves; Passeriformes; Passerellidae. The record is from RNAcentral.